ACGGUACCAUCAAAAGGUAGCACCCGGGGUAAUCUCCGUGCCACGCACCGCGUGUAAUAUCGGUAGUGGUGCCAAAGACGUUUGUUCGGAAUUACUGGGCGUAAAGCGCGUGUAGACGGCUGUGUAAGUCGGAUGUGAAAGCCCUCGGCUCAUACUGAGGAUAGUGCAUCCGAUACUGCAUAGCUUGAGUCUCGGAGAGUGUUUGUGGAAUUCCCGGUGUAGAGGGUGAGAAUUCGUAGAUAUCGGGAGGGAACACCAGUGGCGAAGGCGACAACUCUGGACGUAUGUACUGACGCUGUAGUACGCGAAAGCGUGGGGAGCAAACAGGAUUAGAUACCCCUGGUAUUCCACGCCGUAAACGGUGUCAACUAGGUGUUGUGGGUAUUGACCCCCGCAGUGCCGCAGCUAACGCAUUUAAGUUGACCGCCUGGGGAGUACGGGCGCAAGCUUAAAACUUCAAAUGAAUUGACGGA
Molecule: ribosomal RNA, 473 nt
Filed under: uncultured delta proteobacterium
Lineage: Bacteria; Deltaproteobacteria
Also listed under: 1 other name
Description: bacterial SSU rRNA
Rfam family: Bacterial small subunit ribosomal RNA
Source: RNAcentral